UAGAGUAGUUAAAGUCGUACCAGGUUUCCGUAGGUGAACCUGCGGAAGAAUCAUUA
This 56-nucleotide ribosomal RNA is filed under the name Inocybe praetervisa. RNAcentral describes it as "partial 18S ribosomal RNA". Lineage: Eukaryota; Fungi; Basidiomycota; Agaricomycetes; Agaricales; Inocybaceae. The record is from RNAcentral.